RNAcentral lists this long non-coding RNA (210 nucleotides) under Mytilus galloprovincialis (Mediterranean mussel). Lineage: Eukaryota; Metazoa; Mollusca; Bivalvia; Mytilida; Mytilidae. The record is from RNAcentral.
UAACAAUUUAAAAAAAGUAAACCAUUAUAGGUCAAUGUACAGCCUUCAACACGGAGCCCUGGCUCACACCGAACAACAAGCUAUAAAGGGCUCCAAAAUUACUAGUGUAAAACCAUUAAAACGGGAAAACCAACGGUCUAAUCUAUAUAAAAAAAAAAAAAAAAAACGAGAAACGAGAAACACGUAUAAAUUACAUAAACAAACGACAAC